RNAcentral lists this ribosomal RNA (416 nucleotides) under uncultured bacterium. Its description in RNAcentral is "bacterial SSU rRNA". It matches the Rfam family "Bacterial small subunit ribosomal RNA", at positions 355 to 786 of the family's 1533-position model. The record is from RNAcentral.
UGAGGGAUAUUGGGCAAUGGGGGAAACCCUGACCCAGCGACGCCGCGUGAGGGAAGACGGUCUUCGGAUUGUAAACCUCUGUCUUUGGGGACGAAAAAGGACGGUACCCAAGGAGGAAGCUCCGGCUAACUACGUGCCAGCAGCCGCGGUAAUACGUAGGGAGCGAGCGUUGUCCGGAAUUACUGGGUGUAAAGGGAGCGUAGGCGGGAAGGCAAGUUGGAUGUGAAAAGCUGUGGGCUCAACCGACAGACUGCAUUCAAAACUGUUUUUCUUGAGUGAAGUAGAGGCAAGCGGAAUUCCUAGUGUAGCGGUGAAAUGCGUAGAUAUUAGGAGGAACACCAGUGGCGAAGGCGGCUUGCUGGGCUUUUACUGACGCUGAGGCUCGAAAGUGUGGGGAGCAAACAGGAUUAGAUACC